RNAcentral lists this ribosomal RNA (422 nucleotides) under Salmonella enterica subsp. enterica serovar Paratyphi B. RNAcentral's name for it is "bacterial LSU rRNA". It matches the Rfam family "Bacterial large subunit ribosomal RNA", at positions 1 to 453 of the family's 2925-position model. Lineage: Bacteria; Pseudomonadati; Pseudomonadota; Gammaproteobacteria; Enterobacterales; Enterobacteriaceae. The record is from RNAcentral.
GGGUUGUGAGGUUAAGCGACUAAGCGUACACGGUGGAUGCCCUGGCAGUCAGAGGCGAUGAAGGGCGUGCUAAUCUGCGAUAAGCGCCGGUAAGGUGAUAUGAACCGUUAUAACCGGCGAUACCCGAAUGGGGAAACCCAGUGUGACUCGUCACACUAUCAUUAACUGAAUCCAUAGGUUAAUGAGGCGAACCGGGGGAACUGAAACAUCUAAGUACCCCGAGGAAAAGAAAUCAACCGAGAUUCCCCCAGUAGCGGCGAGCGAACGGGGAGGAGCCCAGAGCCUGAAUCAGCAUGUGUGUUAGUGGAAGCGUCUGGAAAGGCGCGCGAUACAGGGUGACAGCCCCGUACACAAAAGCGCAUGUGCUGUGAGCUCGAUGAGUAGGGCGGGACACGUGGUAUCCUGUCUGAAUAUGGGGGGAC